CCAAUAGCGUAUAUUAAAGUUGUUGCAGUUAAAAAGCUCGUAGUUGAAUUUUGGAUUCUACCAAUUGGUCCAUCUUUUAGGUGAGUACUGGUUGUGUGGGGUCUAUCCGCCUGGUGAUACGUAAUGUCCUUUAUUGGAUGUUGCGGGUAGUCAGGACCUUUACCUUGAAAAAAUUAGAGUGUUUAAAGCAGGCUUAUGCCGGAAUACAUUAGCAUGGAAUAAUAGAAUAGGACGAAGUUGUUUUAUUUUGUUGGUUUCUAGGACAACCGUAAUGAUUAAUAGGGAUAGUUGGGGGCAUUAGUAUUCAAUUGUCAGAGGUGAAAUUCUUGGAUUUAUUGAAGACUAACUACUGCGAAAGCAUUUGCCAAGGAUGUUUUCAUUAAUCAAGAACGAAAGUUAGGGGAUCGAAGACGAUCAGAUACCGUCGUAGUCUUAACCAUAAACUAUGCCGACUAGGGAUCGGGCGAUGUUGUUUCCAUGACUCGCUCGGCACCUUAUG
Molecule: ribosomal RNA, 499 nt
Filed under: uncultured Glomeromycotina
Lineage: Eukaryota; Fungi; Glomeromycota
Description: partial small subunit ribosomal RNA
Rfam family: Eukaryotic small subunit ribosomal RNA
Source: RNAcentral